Non-coding RNA from Lolium perenne, 2329 nucleotides. The record is from RefSeq and is a predicted model, not a curated record. NCBI's taxonomy places the organism in Eukaryota, Viridiplantae, Streptophyta, Magnoliopsida, Poales, Poaceae.
GCCACUUCCUCCUCUUUUCCUCAUCUUUCCUCUUCUCUCUGUGAGCAACGAAGGAGAGAAACCCCACAGUACGCCUCCACCUUGCCAUGGCGCCGGCGUUUCAGACCGCCCCUCGUCGAUCCAAGACCACCUGGAGAACCUCCUCGUCUCCCUGGUCAUCCUCGUGCAAGGAAUCGGAGCAGGAGGUCCUCAAUCGAGCGCAAACUCGCCGAUUCCGUCCUCAACUCCGGCGAAGAAAUUGUCAAUUCCGGCCGCCAUCGUCCUCCUCCGGCCAAACCGACCACACCUCCGCCUUCCCCGCGUCGAGCCGCACCCCCGACGCCAUCUCUCCCAUCCUGGUUCGUCCCGUCUCCAUCGUCCCCGAGUUCGUCUGCAAGUGUCCGCCAUGGCUUCCAGUUCUGAGCACCGCCUCCCGUGGUUCAAGUCGAUACGGGCCUUUUCCUUGACACGAUCAGACCAACAGCCCAGUGAUCCAGAUCUGCCAAUGGGCCUGGCCCGAGAUCUGUCGGCUCAGUCCGUCGCCCGCCGCGCGGCCAGAAGCUAUCUGUCGCCCGCAGCAGGCCAGAUCCGGCCCAGGACACAGCAGCAUUUGCUUCUUUCCGGAUAGGAUCACGAAGUGGUGAUGUGAGAUACGACGAGUUCUCCGACAAGUUCUUUGCAGCUUUCACAGGCGAGCCCUCUCUCUUCACCUACUCUCCCUCGCAUUGCUAUCCUUAUGUUGCGCUUCUUUAUCGAGUCACGUCUCCUAUUCCACUUGUUUACCAUAAUAAUCCUAUAUAUAUCAUUCCUUACCCAUAGCCGUUGCUUGAUGUUUGAGCCUUGCGAGUCGUAGGCGUGUUUAGGCUCUGAUGUUUAUCUCGAUCUGUUAUCGGGAUAUGUUGGGUUGUUGGGAGGUUAUCACAUGCUACAUCAGUUACUCAUGCUUUACUUAUUGUUAACAACUAAAAUUGUAAGCAGAGGCAUCUGUGAGCCCCUUUGCGAAAGCAUCGGAACUUUGACUCGCUAAUGUCCCCUAGGACCCGAGUUCUUGUUAUCUGUUCCGAGAUUGAGCGCUCUACCCGUACGUGGGGACAUUUAUUGUGACCCCCCUCACCCAUUACCUUUUCUCAAGUCAGUUGAAAAGGGGGCCACAACCUUGGUUUUAUUUGCCUAUGCCAUGUAUGCCAUGCUUUACUUACUGUUGCCUUCGGGUGUUUACUUCCCGUUGCCUUCGGGUGUUUAUAUUCUGUACUGUACCCCGCGGGACGUUUAGCGAAGCGUGUGGUUCGCACGCCUAGCCGCCGUCGCAAACCCUGAGUCCGUCUCGGAGUACGGCCGGACUUCGUCACGGGUAGCUUAGUCGGGUGGCCCCCCUAGACUUUCUUGUUGAACUGGGAACGGUCUUGUUGUGAGACAUCCACCUGUCAUAAGUGGGUCGAGCAUGCGUAUGGUUACAUUUGGACAACCCCUGCAGGGUGUACAUCUUAUCGAUAAGCCGUGUCCGCGGUUAUGGACGACUUGGAAUUGUAUAGCUCGAUCAUAGAACAACUUACACCUUUAUGUUGUUGAUAAUAAUUUGCUAAUAACUUGAUUAGUAAUAUAGCAUUACUACAACCGAUACCUAAUAAAACUUGUCCACCGUUGAGUGCCUUUUACAUUGCCUCUUCGCUUUGUUGAAGGGGAUAUGUGUAAUCAGCUGGGUUAUGUUUGUGUAGUAUUUAUCUGUUACCUUGUGCGCUCUCUUAUCUUCUCUGAGUAGACGGAUGUUGUAGCGUGUCUCUAUUGGUUAUAGUUUUGUUGCCGCUAAACCUACCAUACAGCCCCAGGCGAUAUAUGUAUUCGCCCGGCGAGCAUAGCCAUUUCUAGUCUCGCUAAGUACGUGCCGGAGUUCGUUCCUUGGUACUUACUCUCGCCUUUUCCCCUUUCUCUUUUGCUUCCUUCCUUUUGUCGGCAACCGAUGGCCCGACUUUGACAGGUACGAGAAGACGACGUUAGCAAGGUUACCCUUCCGGCUUGGCCUGGGCAGGGUUAUGGACGCCAUUGGUUAUCUUUAGGACUCUUAGUCCAAUUUGUAUCUUGUCCGUACUCAGAUGUAUUCGAUCUUCUGAUGAUUUGGAUCUUUGUAUUGUAUAUUUGUAUUUUGACUCGUUGGAGUCGUUGUUGUAAUAUAUGUUUCUUGUGGGCUCUAUUGUAAUCCUGUUGUAAUGUUACCGCUCGUGUUAAUUCCUCUGGCAUCACGUGUGUGAUUCUUCGCGCACGUCGUGUCGGAGGGCGUCUCUGAAUCGAUAUCGUGCGGAUUUCGGCGGGAUCGCUGGAAUCCUCAUGGUACCGGUUCCGGGGCGUCACAAGG